This is a long non-coding RNA of Ipomoea nil (Japanese morning glory), 1023 nucleotides long. RefSeq lists it as uncharacterized. The record is from RefSeq and is a predicted model, not a curated record. Lineage: Eukaryota; Viridiplantae; Streptophyta; Magnoliopsida; Solanales; Convolvulaceae. The transcript has 2 exons.
UCAGAUCUACUAAUUAAGGCCAUUCAAAUCUAUCAGAUCUCCUCUUUUCAUCUCAACCAAAUACACCAAAACAUACAAAUCUUCUCUUCUCUUCUCUUCAGAUCUAUCAUAUCAACCGGCGAACCUUUAAAUCUUCUCCUUUCUGCUCUCUUCAGAUCUAUCAUAUCAACCGGCGAACCUUUAAAUCUUCUCCUUUCUGCUUCUAACGAGACACCAUCGGGUAGCGCUUCGACAGCGGCCUCACGACGACGCUUGUUGGUGGCGGGUAGUGCUUCGACGGCGACGACUUGUUGGCAACGGUGACGACGACAACGGUUUAUCAGCUUGGUCGCACUGCUCCUUUGUCGUUCGUCGUUCAGAUUGUGAGGGAAUGGUUUCGACGGCAUAGAUCUGAUCUGGAGAUCUCGGAGGCCACCGCCGCUUGGUAGUUGAAGAGCCAAAGCCCUCUGCGCAUCGCGAAGCCGUAGAUGGUGAAGCAAGCGAGGAAGAGACGAAGCAGAAGAAGAGUCGAAGAGUCAAAGCUCUCUGUGCAUCGCGAAGCUGUAGAUGAUGAAGCAAGCGAAGAAGAGACGAAGCAGAAGAAGACUAUUCACAGUGCAUUUUUUAAAAAAUAUUUUUCUUUUUGCAUUUCUUUAAUUUUACUGUGUUAUUAUCUUUUUUUUUUAACCUUAUCUUCGUUGGUUCCCACUUGGAACCAUAGCAGGCGAAAUCUUUUAGUUUAAGCACCUCAAGGUGCGGCAACUUGCCAAUUGUGUCCAUCUCCUUCCAUGGAAGAUAAGUAUACCGAAGUGUCAACUUCUUAAGGUUUGGUGGAAAACCUGUUGGAAGACAAAAGCGCUCGACCCUUCCUACUUCAAACUUCAACUUCUCAAGUAGUUGUAAAUGCACAAGGCUCCCUAGAUGGCUAGGCCCCAAUAGGCCUUCAAUAUAAAUCUCAAGUUCCUUUAGGUUUGGAACCAUUUUGAAGUUUGGUUUUUCGUCGGAGCUAGCAAAUUUCAACCAAUAAAGAGUUUGUAGAUCUUU